AGCUUGCUCUUCUUGGAUGAGUUGCGAACGGGUGAGUAACGCGUAGGUAACCUGCCUUGUAGCGGGGGAUAACUAUUGGAAACGAUAGCUAAUACCGCAUAACAAUGGAUGACACAUGUCAUUUAUUUGAAAGGGGCAAUUGCUCCACUACAAGAUGGACCUGCGUUGUAUUAGCUAGUAGGUGAGGUAACGGCUCACCUAGGCGACGAUACAUAGCCGACCUGAGAGGGUGAUCGGCCACACUGGGACUGAGACACGGCCCAGACUCCUACGGGAGGCAGCAGUAGGGAAUCUUCGGCAAUGGGGGCAACCCUGACCGAGCAACGCCGCGUGAGUGAAGAAGGUUUUCGGAUCGUAAAGCUCUGUUGUAAGUCAAGAACGAGUGUGAGAGUGGAAAGUUCACACUGUGACGGUAGCUUACCAGAAAGGGACGGCUAACUACGUGCCAGCAGCCGCGGUAAUACGUAGGUCCCGAGCGUUGUCCGGAUUUAUUGGGCGUAAAGCGAGCGCAGGCGGUUUGAUAAGUCUGAAGUUAAAGGCUGUGGCUCAACCAUAGUUCGCUUUGGAAACUGUCAAACUUGAGUGCAGAAGGGGAGAGUGGAAUUCCAUGUGUAGCGGUGAAAUGCGUAGAUAUAUGGAGGAACACCGGUGGCGAAAGCGGCUCUCUGGUCUGUAACUGACGCUGAGGCU
Molecule: ribosomal RNA, 690 nt
Filed under: Streptococcus sp. HGB0033
Lineage: Bacteria; Bacillati; Bacillota; Bacilli; Lactobacillales; Streptococcaceae
Description: bacterial SSU rRNA
Rfam family: Bacterial small subunit ribosomal RNA
Source: RNAcentral